GGCUGAUUAUAACAUCCAGAAAGAGUCGACCCUUCACCUUGUCCUGCGUCUUCGUGGUGGGUUCUGAGUAGUUUCUAUGUUUCUACUAUGAAUUUGUGGUGUCUGGGAGUUCUAAAUUAUUGGGUCUCUCUUAUUUUCAGAUGUGAUGUGUGAUUGGCCUUUGCAAGGCCUUGUGAAUAAUGUUUGUAUUUUCCUUAUCGUUUAUUAAAUAAAAAUUCAUCUAUUUCUGUUCGAUUCAUUUGUGGUUUAUUGUACUGCUGUUUGAUUUUAGAAUGUAAAGCUCCUUGGUUAGAGUUUAUUUCAAAAAAAAAAAAAA
This 316-nucleotide unclassified non-coding RNA is filed under the name Hevea brasiliensis (rubber tree). The record is from RNAcentral. Lineage: Eukaryota; Viridiplantae; Streptophyta; Magnoliopsida; Malpighiales; Euphorbiaceae.